Molecule: ribosomal RNA, 206 nt
Filed under: Bacillus sp. LK7
Lineage: Bacteria; Bacillati; Bacillota; Bacilli; Caryophanales; Bacillaceae
Description: partial 16S ribosomal RNA
Rfam family: Bacterial small subunit ribosomal RNA
Source: RNAcentral
UUUAUCGGAGAGUUUGAUCCUGGCUCAGGACGAACGCUGGCGGCGUGCCUAAUACAUGCAAGUCGAGCGGACAGAUGGGAGCUUGCUCCCUGAUGUUAGCGGCGGACGGGUGAGUAACACGUGGGUAACCUGCCUGUAAGACUGGGAUAACUCCGGGAAACCGGGGCUAAUACCGGAUGGUUGUCUGAACCGCAUGGUUCAGACAU